AAGGAAUAUUGGUCAAUGGACGCAAGUCUGAACCAGCCAUGCCGCGUGAAGGAUUAAGGCCCUCUGGGUUGUAAACUUCUUUUAUAGGGGAAGAAAUGUGACGGUUCUCCGUCACUUGACGGUACCCUGGGAAUAAGCACCGGCUAACUCCGUGCCAGCAGCCGCGGUAAUACGGAGGGUGCAAGCGUUAUCCGGAUUCACUGGGUUUAAAGGGUGCGUAGGUGGGCAGAUAAGUCAGUGGUGAAAUCUUCCGGCUUAACCGGGAAACUGCCGUUGAUACUAUUUGUCUUGAAUAUUGCGGAGGUAAGCGGAAUAUGUCAUGUAGCGGUGAAAUGCUUAGAUAUGACAUGGAACACCAAUUGCGAAGGCAGCUUACUAUGCGGUGAUUGACACUGAGGCACGAAAGCGUGGGUAGCAAACA
RNAcentral lists this ribosomal RNA (421 nucleotides) under uncultured bacterium. RNAcentral's name for it is "bacterial SSU rRNA". It matches the Rfam family "Bacterial small subunit ribosomal RNA", at positions 356 to 774 of the family's 1533-position model. The record is from RNAcentral.